UAGUGAACAAAAUCUAACUAUCAAGCAAAAUCUAACUAGCAAACAAAAUCUAGCCAAUGAACGUAAUCUAACUAUCAAGCAAAAUCUAGCUAGCAAACAAAAUCUAACAAGCAAAAGCUAGUCUAACGAGCAAAAUCUAACUAGCAAACAAAAUCUAACCUAGUGAACAAAAUCUAACUAGCGAGCAACAUUUAACUAGUGAACAAAAUCUAACUAUCAAGCAAAAUCUAGCUAGCAAACAAAAUCUAACAAGCAAAAGCUAGUCUAACGAGCAAAAUCUGACUAGCAAACAAAAUCUAACUAACGAUCAAAAGGUAACUAGCAAGCAAAAUAUAACUAACGCGCGAUAGCUAGUCUAGCAAACAAAAUCUAACUAGUGAACGUAAUCUAACUAGCAAGCAAAAUCUAACUAGCAAACAAAAUCUAAC
Long non-coding RNA from Ictalurus punctatus (channel catfish), 428 nucleotides. Lineage: Eukaryota; Metazoa; Chordata; Actinopteri; Siluriformes; Ictaluridae. The record is from Ensembl.